UCCGUAACGGAAAACCGAUCAAUAAAAGUUGAAUCUUUUAUAUUUUGUUGGAAGUAAAAACCUGGCAAUGAUAUAAAAAAGACAAAAAUUAGCGAAUUGAACCAUCUAAGUAGCUAAUGAAAAAAUCAACCGAGAAUACUGUAAGUAGUGGCGAGCGAACAUGGUAAAGGCUUUUUUGUUUUUAAGUAGAUCUAAUUUGACUACUAAAAACAAAUUUAAUUGAUUACACACUAAUUUAAAUAUCCAAAGAAGGUAUUUUUAAGUAAGUCCUGUAAAAUUUAGUCGUAACAAUUAAAAAACAGUAGAAUAAAACAAGUCAUGUUUUGUUUGAAGAUUGAGGUCCCACCCUCAAAGCCUAAAUAAUUUUUGAUGAUAGAUAGUGAACUAGUACCGUGAGGGAAAUGGGUGAAAUUUAACGCUGACAAUCAGUUGAAGCUUAGAAAUUUUUAAAAGUGACAGCGAUCCUUUUGCAUAAUGCGUCAACGAGUUUAUUUUAGAGGCAAGCUUAAGCUGUGCAAAGUGUAGGCUAAAAGAAAUUAAAAAAGUCUUAAAUUGCUUUUUAAGUCACUAAAAUAAGACCCGAAACUAAGUGAUCUAACCAUGAACAGGUUGAAUUUAAAGCGGCAACGCUUAUUGGAGGACCGAACCCGUGUAUGUGGAAAGAUACUGGGAUGAUUUGUGGUUAGGGGUGAAAGGCCAAUCAAACUUAGAGAUAGCUGGUUUUCUGCGAAAUCUAUUUAAGUAGAGCGUUUAAAAACUUUGAUUUGAGGUAGAGCUCUUAAUAAAUAAGGGGGGUGUAAAACUUUACCGAAUUUAAUAAAACUUCGAAUACAAAACAAAAGAAUUUAAGCAGACAGACUGUGAGUGCUAAGAUUCACAGUCAAGAGGGAAACAGCCCAGACUAUUUGUUAAGGCCCUUAAAAGUAAUUAAGUGAAAAAGAAAGUGAAAAAAUUUUAACAACCGGAAGGUAGGCUUGGAAGCAGCCAUCCUUUAAAGAAAGCGUAACAGCUCACUGGUUUAGUUUUUUUGCGUCAAAAAUGUAGAGGGACUAAAAUUACUUGCCGAAGCAAUAGAUUUAAAUUGUUAAAAUUUAAAUGGUAGCAGAACGUUCUGUAAAUCAACGGAGGUUUAUGGUGACAUAAACUGGAGAAAUCAGAAGUGUAAAUGUUGACAUGAGUAGCGAAAAACAGUGUAUAAGCAUUGUUGCCUUAAGUUCAAGGUUUCCAAAGCAAGUCUACCCCUCUUUGGUUGAAUCGGUCCCUAAGGUCUUAACGAAAGUUAAAGAUCGAUGGAGAAUAAUAUUAUUACAAUCUAAAGUGACAAAAUACAAAGAUUGUUUUUAUCUAAUGGUUUCGAUAAAAGUUUUUUAGUAUUUUCAAGAAAUAGCUUUAGUAAAAUCAACCGUACUGUAAACCGACACAGGUGAACAAAUUUAGUAAAUUAAGGCACGUGAGCGAAUUGUAUUGAAGGAACUCGGCAAAAUGACUCCGUAACUUCGGAAUAAGGAGUAGCUUUUUUAGGGCAACCUUUAAAAGCUGGCACAAAAUCGAGGACAGCAACUGUUUAAUAAAAACACAGGUCUCUGCAAAUUUGUAAAAAGACGUAUAGAGACUGACGCCUGCCCGGUGCUGCAAGAUUAAUGAGAAAAGUUUUGGCUUUGAUCUUAAACCCCAGUAAACGGCGGCUGUAACUCUGACGGUCCAAAGGUAGCGAAAUUCCUUGGCAUUUAAUUGGUGUCCUGCAUGAAUGGCGUAAUGACUGUCCUACUGUCUCCAAUACAACCUCAGUGAAAUUGAAAUCUCCGUGAAGAUGCGGAGUACCUGCGGCUAGACGGAAAGACCCCGUGCACCUUUACUAUAGUUAUGUAUUGUAACAAAAACUAUCAUGUGUAGAAUAUGUGGGAAGUUUUUUGAAAUCUUUACGCAAGUAAAUCAUUUAAAUAACAGUGAAAUACCACUCUUGAUACUUUUUGUUACUUAUUAAUUAAGACAAUGCAUAAUGGGUAGUUUGACUGGGGCGGUCGCCUCCUAAAGAGUAACGGAGGCGUGCAAAGGUAAGUUCAAAUUGGAGUUAUAAAAUCAAUUGUAGAGCGUAAUAGUAUAUUGCUUGCCUGAUUGUAAGAUUGACAAAUCAAACAGGGACGAAAGUCGGUUAUAGUGAUCCGGUGAUUCUGUGUGGAAAAGGUCAUCGCUCAACGGAUAAAAGGUACGCCGGGGAUAACAGGCUAAUUAUCCUCUAGAGACCCUAUCGACGGGAUAGUUUGGCACCUCGAUGUUGGAUUAUCGCAUCCUGGAACUGUAAGCGGUUCCAAGGGUUUGGCUGUUCGCCAAGAAAGGCGGUACAUGAUCUGAGUUUAGAACGUCGUGAGACAGUUUGGCCCCUAUCUACCGCAGGCGUAAAAAAAUUGAAAGGAUUAAACCUUAGUACGAGAGGACCAGGAAAAGUGAAUCUCUGGUGUAUCGGUUGUUAUACCAAUAGCAUAGCCGAGUAGCUAUAAUUCAUAAUAGAUAAUCGCUGAAAGCAUCUAAGCGAGAAACUAACCUUGAGAUUAAUUUUUUAAAAGAACGUAGUAGAUUAUUACGCAAUAGGCUUAGUGUGUAAGAAUUGCAAAAUUUUUAGCUAAUAAGUACUAAAA
RNAcentral lists this ribosomal RNA (2636 nucleotides) under Minutocellus polymorphus. RNAcentral describes it as "partial Bacterial large subunit ribosomal RNA". It matches the Rfam family "Bacterial large subunit ribosomal RNA". The record is from RNAcentral. Lineage: Eukaryota; Bacillariophyta; Thalassiosirophyceae; Cymatosirales; Cymatosiraceae.